UACAGAGGAGGCAAGCGUUAUCCGGAAUUAUUGGGCGUAAAGCGUCCGCAGGCGGCUUUUCAAGUCUGGGGUCAAAGACUGCAGCUUAACUCCGGGGGGGCGGUGGAAACUGAAAGGCUGGAGUGGGGUAGGGGUUGAGGGAAUUCCCAGUGUAGCGGUGAAAUGCGUAGAUAUUGGGAAGAACACCUGAGGCGAAAGCGCGCAACUGGGCCUUAACUGACGCUGAGGGACGAAAGCUAGGGGAGCGAAAGGG
Molecule: ribosomal RNA, 253 nt
Filed under: uncultured bacterium
Lineage: Bacteria
Description: partial 16S ribosomal RNA
Rfam family: Bacterial small subunit ribosomal RNA
Source: RNAcentral